This 521-nucleotide ribosomal RNA is filed under the name uncultured bacterium. RNAcentral's name for it is "partial 16S ribosomal RNA". It matches the Rfam family "Bacterial small subunit ribosomal RNA", at positions 355 to 889 of the family's 1533-position model. The record is from RNAcentral.
UGGGGAAUAUUGCACAAUGGGCGAAAGCCUGAUGCAGCAACGCCGCGUGAGUGAUGAAGGUCUUCGGAUUGUAAAGCUCUGUCUUUUGGGACGAUAAUGACGGUACCAAAGGAGGAAGCCACGGCUAACUACGUGCCAGCAGCCGCGGUAAUACGUAGGUGGCGAGCGUUGUCCGGAUUUACUGGGCGUAAAGGGUGCGUAGGCGGAUGUUUAAGUGAGAUGUGAAAUACCCGGGCUUAACUUGGGUGCUGCAUUUCAAACUGGAUAUCUAGAGUGCAGGAGAGGAGAAUGGAAUUCCUAGUGUAGCGGUGAAAUGCGUAGAGAUUAGGAAGAACACCAGUGGCGAAGGCGAUUCUCUGGACUGUAACUGACGCUGAGGCACGAAAAGCGUGGGUAGCAAACAGGAUUAGAUACCCUGGUAGUCCACGCCGUAAAACGAUGAGUACUAGGUGUAGGAGGUAUCGACCCCUUCUGUGCCGCAGUAAAACACAUUAAGUACUCCGCCUGGGAAGUACGAUCGC